GUGAGUGAUGAAGGCCCUAGGGUCGUAAAGCUCUUUCGCCUGUGAAGAUAAUGACUGUAGCAGGUAAAGAAACCCCGGCUAACUCCGUGCCAGCAGCCGCGGUAAUACGGAGGGGGUUAGCGUUGUUCGGAAUUACUGGGCGUAAAGCGCGCGUAGGCGGACUGGAAAGUUGGGGGUGAAAUCCCAGGGCUCAACCCUGGAACUGCCUCCAAAACUAUCAGUCUAGAGUUCGAGAGAGGUGAGUGGAAUUCCGAGUGUAGAGGUGAAAUUCGUAGAUAUUCGGAGGAACACCAGUGGCGAAGGCGGCUCACUGGCUCGAUACUGACGCUGAGGUGCGAAAGUGUGGGGAGCAAACAGGAUUAGAUACCCUGGUAGUCCACACCGUAAACGAUGAAUGCCAGUCGUCGGGUAGCAUGCUAUUCGGUGACACACCUAACGGAUUAAGCAUUCCGCCUGGGGAGUACGGUCGCAAGAUUAAAACU
Molecule: ribosomal RNA, 482 nt
Filed under: Ruegeria sp. Gi-6
Lineage: Bacteria; Pseudomonadati; Pseudomonadota; Alphaproteobacteria; Rhodobacterales; Roseobacteraceae
Description: bacterial SSU rRNA
Rfam family: Bacterial small subunit ribosomal RNA
Source: RNAcentral